This 422-nucleotide ribosomal RNA is filed under the name uncultured bacterium. Its description in RNAcentral is "bacterial SSU rRNA". It matches the Rfam family "Bacterial small subunit ribosomal RNA", at positions 358 to 772 of the family's 1533-position model. The record is from RNAcentral.
GGAAUCUUGGACAAUGGGGGCAACCCUGAUCCAGCGAUGCCGCGUGAGUGAAGAAGGCCUUCGGGUCGUAAAGCUCUUUAGGCUGGGCAGAAGAUUGGUAGUUUAAGAGAUAAUCAAUUUGACUGUACCAGCAGAAUAAGCCCCGGCACACUAUGUGCCAGCAGCCGCGGUAAUACAGAGGGUGCGAGCGUUAAUCGGAUUUACUGGGCGUAAAGGGCGCGUAGGCGGUUGUGUGAGUGUGAUGUGAAAGCCCCGGGCUUAACCUGGGAAGUGCAUCGCAAACGACACAGCUAGAGUAGAUGAGAGGGUGAUGGAAUUUCCGGUGCAGCGGUGAAAUGCGUAGAGAUCGGAAGGAACGUCAAUGGCGAAGGCAGUCACCUGGCAUCAUACUGACGCUGAGGCGCGAAAGCGUGGGUAGCGAA